GUAACGACUCUCGGCAACGGAUAUCUCGGCUCUCGCAUCGAUGAAGAACGUAGCGAAAUGCGAUACUUGGUGUGAAUUGCAGAAUCCCGUGAACCAUCGAGUCUUUGAACGCAAGUUGCGCCCGAAGCCUUCUGGCCGAGGGCACGUCUGCCUGGGCGUCACGC
This 164-nucleotide ribosomal RNA is filed under the name Portulaca pilosa. RNAcentral describes it as "5.8S ribosomal RNA". It matches the Rfam family "5.8S ribosomal RNA". From Rfam's summary of the family: 5.8S ribosomal RNA (5.8S rRNA) is a component of the large subunit of the eukaryotic ribosome. It is transcribed by RNA polymerase I as part of the 45S precursor that also contains 18S and 28S rRNA. The record is from RNAcentral. Lineage: Eukaryota; Viridiplantae; Streptophyta; Magnoliopsida; Caryophyllales; Portulacaceae.